UACGAAGGGGGCUAGCGUUGCUCGGAAUCACUGGGCGUAAAGCGCACGUAGGCGGACUCUUAAGUCGGUGGUGAAAUCCUGGAGCUCAACUCCAGAACUGCCUUCGAUACUGGGAGUCUUGAGUCCGAGAGAGGUGAGUGGAACUGCGAGUGUAGAGGUGAAAUUCGUAGAUAUUCGCAAGAACACCAGUGGCGAAGGCGGCUCACUGGCCCGAUACUGACGCUGAGGUGCGAAAGCGUGGGGAGCAAACAGG
This 253-nucleotide ribosomal RNA is filed under the name uncultured bacterium. RNAcentral's name for it is "partial 16S ribosomal RNA". It matches the Rfam family "Bacterial small subunit ribosomal RNA", at positions 524 to 776 of the family's 1533-position model. The record is from RNAcentral.